Long non-coding RNA from Equus caballus (horse), 18961 nucleotides. RefSeq lists it as uncharacterized. Lineage: Eukaryota; Metazoa; Chordata; Mammalia; Perissodactyla; Equidae. The record is from RefSeq and is a predicted model, not a curated record.
GCUUGCAGAUAUUAUGGUUAAGGCGUCCUCCCAAUUACAAUAGCCCCGCCUCCUACUGCAAUAGCCCUUUUUGCAACAAUCCUUUUGAAUAAGUCUGUCCUUACUAAGUCUGUAUUUCUUUUUAUUUGACAACAGCAUAUGUGAGCUUGUGACCAGAGGCAAAUGGCCAGAGCCACUGAUCCAACCGUGGAUGCCAGAAUGAUGUCCCAAGGCUCAAAUGGGGCCAUCGACACCUCAGGGAUGAGAUCCAACAACUUGCUCCGUGGUACAGACCAGUGAGGACCAGAGGAUGUCACUCAGGCAGGGUUAUGGCCCUUCAAUGCUUGUGAGUCUCACCUCUUCUGACUUUUGCUACUGGACUUGAUGGCGGCUCAGAAGAAUGCUGUGGAAGAAUUCUCAUAGGAAACCUGAAAAGCCUCCUGAGCUCUGAAGAGAUGCAUGGAGAAUUCCAUUUUACCGAGUCAAGAGGAUCAAUUAAAAUGCCACGUCUGCUAGGUUUAAGGUGAAAUAGAGCCCCUGGAGAUUCAGAAGGACCACUUCGAGAGUUUCUGCCUCAGGGAAACCUCCCAGAAUUGUAAACUGGUUGUUCAGGUGAUGAAAUUUGUCCAGAGUCUGUGCCACCCAGAUGCAAGAAAAUAAAUCCACAACUUUGGCCAAAUUGAUAAUGAGUAAUGAUUAACAAAAUGUUCUUUUUCCUGGCUGGACUCCCGGGAGAGAGACUUUGUUUCUCCCAGGUGGCUUAAAGAGGAGCUUGCCUUUGUGUGUUCUCCACAUUCCAGGAAAGAUGAAGGUAGAGCUAACGUCUCUCCUGCAGGCGAAGUUCCCUGUCCUAGGUGGUCUUUAUGGAUCAGGCUGCCUCCUAAUUACAUACUGAUCAUUUAAAAAGUGAAACUCCAGGGAGCGACGGGCCAGUGAGCAAUUCCUCUGACUCCUCAGAGCCAUCAGACUCACGUGGUAAGUCGUUACCUCCAUGAUAUCAUAUUUCAAGAGCUUCGGAACAUAACCUGGUGCUCCCUGCCUGAAGUCCCACAUGACAUUAGCCCCGACUGAAAUUGAGUCUACUGGAAGAAGUCACCUCUAAGCCUUAUCUGCUACCUAAAUUUUAGUAUGAAAGAUUUUUUACUUAAAAGGAAUACGUGGGGGAAAGCUGGGAAUAUCAAAUGUUAUUAGCAUUUCUUUCACGUUUGGCCCCACGCAAUUCGAAUGGACUUGUUUGUAGUUUAAUAAAUCAAUGUCUAUAAAGAAGCAAUGAGAUGAAAAGUGGCAAACAAGGUCCCAGUAACCACUAUUUUAAGGAAAUGCAGACCAUAAUGAUCAGCAGAGGGAGGGAGGAUAGGGGGCUAUUGACAAGGCCGACUGAGAAAUGACAAAUAAUCCUUUACAUAGAGAGGUUUGCUUAGAAAUGAAUGGUCUGUCUGGGAUUCUUGUAAAGUUACAGGAAUUAUACCAAAUAUGACCCAAGUUUCACUGGAAAUGGUUUAUGGAUCAGAGAAGUAUGUUUGGAGAGACAGUUGAAGAAAAUUCAGUGAAAGCUAUGAAAUGUAAACGAAGUCUAAGAGUCUGGAGCCUUCCAUGAAUGCCUGUGAGGAGUCUUUCCCAAGCAGAAUUCUUUUGGGAAUGUAAUUCUGGAUUCCCGUUUUCGUCACUUGACGCUUAAUAUGUGCCUUUCUCUUCUGGGUGAGUUGGGCAUAUGCAUACUUAACAUCUCCCCUCGUUCUCCAUAUUGCUUAGCAGAAUGCAAGAGUUUCACAGACAGAGGUUGGAAGGAAGGAAGGAAGAAUGAAAGAGAAGGAUAAGGAAAAGACAUAGGGGAAAACAUGGAAGGAGGGAAGAGAAAGAAAGAAAAAGAAGCAAGUCCUACUAGAGCCUAGAAAAUAGAAUGCAGACAGAAAUAGAGGCUUUGUUUAUUCUGCUUCACAGUCAGGCUGUAGCCAGGACUGAUAUCUGCCUUCCUGUCCUGGGAGCGGGGUGAUCUUGCUUAUCUGAGCUUGGGAUACAACCAGUAAUGGGAUUCUAGAAUGAGCAGUGCCCACACGGCUCCCUAGGAAGACCAGUCAAAUUGAGUGAAUCUUAGAGAGGUAAAGAAAGAGAAAAUGAGGAGAGAAAGAGGAGGCCCAGGAGGUGUUAUGUGGGGAAGAACGAGGCAAGUGCGUUUAUUUCCAAUACACAGUAAAUGUUUUGCAGGUUGUGCAAGCUAAUAGUCGACACAUGAGGUUGGUCUUGGAUAGAGCAGGUAGUCAAUAAACAGUCCCUGGAAACUGGGGGUGGGCAGAGAAGUAGGUGCUAAAAGAUUUAAGGGAUUAAAUUAUUUUCAAGCAUAUUAGAAGUAUUUAGGUUUCAAAUUGAUGUGCCGAUUAUAAAUAAUUUUAUUUUUUUGGUGAAGCAGGUCCCCAAGGGUCUUGCUAGUCACAUGUGUUUUUGUCCCACUGUGGUCAUUUUAUGGACCACUUCCAAAUUCAAGAUGCUAAAGUAUUUUCUUCUUGUGAAUUGGAGGCCAAGCCAGAGGCUUGUCUCCCUGUGGGCUUCAUGCUUCUGCGAGGGGCCACCUUUUCCUCUUCCUGCUUCCCCACACCCCAUUUCUGCGACCAUUCUCAUUCAGCAAGGACGGGGACCACCAUAUGAAAUGUGGACAACUGUGAGUGUCUGCUGAUGUUCACUGAAGACCUAGACUUCUGCUACUGCCUUCACCCCAAAUCUCCCCCUAGAAUUCCCUCUCUGCUUUCUGGGGUCCCAAUUUCACUGCAGGGAGUUCUGCAGACAACAGCGGCUGGAACGGAAGAGAAUGAAGGAGUCCCAGCAGCUACUCUGUGACGUCCUGAGAUGGAACUUGGGGUGUUUUAAUUUCAAAAGCAGAGUUGAAAGUGGUGAUGAGAUUUCACGGUACCAUUAGUGUGGUACUAGACUUGAGGCACAAAAUGAGUUAAGGAGGCAUCUGGAAGCUGGCUCAGAAUUCAACCACAAUGUUUCUAUGACAAAUUGGCUACUAAUUUGCCAAUAACCAACUUAGAAAUGACUAUUAGAAUCAAGACAUAUCCACUGAGAACUAACAGAACUAAUACGGUCUAACUAUUUCAGAUUUUGCACAAAACUCAGAUGGAUCUAACUUGUCUGAAUUAGGGUCUUCAGGUAAAGUAGAUUGAAUACAUCCUAUUUCAGUGGGCUUGCCCUCAUUACAGGCUGAUUUGCCCACAGGGAAAUAGGCAAUAAAGUCUGAUACUCUGAUGGUACUAACACUUUCUGGAUGUUUGUAGAAGGAGCAACCUUGGUCCAAGUGAACAAGAAAAGAGGAAGUUCCCAAACCACUUGCAAAGGGUUGAGGCCGAAGAACAGAUGUCUCUGGGCUGCCCAGACGUCGGCCGCAUGGCCCAGCAGUGCUGCCGCUGCCGAAACCCCAAGUCUGCAAGUCAGGGUGGUCUGGAAGUGAAGGAUUGUUUUCCUGAGAGUGGUUUCAAGAAUGCAACUCCUCACCUAAUAAAAAGAAUGUGCAAUGAUUAACUGAGUCUAAUAUUAGCAUCUGCAAAAUAAAGAGCAAUUGGGCCUGCUAUUAAAGAACAAACCUUGCAUGCACCCGCUGCCAGGUAAAAUCUGUUCUUUCUCAGUCAUAAAUCUUUCUUGGACGCCAGAGAAGAAUUUCACUUCCGUCAGAAACACUGGGUGAACCGAAGAAAAAGAACAUGCUGUUUUGGAGAUGAAAGCGACUUGAGUUUAAAGGUCUUGGUGCCUUUUCUGUCUGUUUUGCUUGCUUUCUCUGUGGUGUCCUUGACUUGGCCAUGCCUUGCAUUGUUUGUUGGAUGAUGAGGCAGCAGUGGGAAAAGGUCAGGAUGGGUCAUUUGCUUCAGGCUGUAGCUUCAGGCAGAGAACUAGCAUCUGACAUCGAAUCUCACUGUUCUCCAGGGUGGACCCUUGGUGAAACAUCUUUGAACACCGAACCCUUGAUAAUUGUGAAGAAUACAUUAAGAGACUUUAGGAUUUUCCUAAACUUGAGAACUCCAUCCACUAAUUGAGAUGCAGAAGUUGAAUUGAUUUGUUCAUCAAAUAAGGUUACCACUCUUGCUGAACCAGAGACUCAAAUUGGUAGUUGCCACUUUACUUGUAUUACCUAAUCUGACUUCAUGAAACGCUUUGAUGUAAGGCAGUGGUUUUCAAAGUAUGGGCCUCACAAUACCAGCAUCACCCGAGAACUUGCUAGAAAUGUACAUCCUUGGGUCCCAUUCCAGACUUACUGGGCCAGCAAUCUCCCUCUUCAGUAAGUCCUCCAAGUGUUUCUGAUGGACGCUAAAGUUUGGGAACCACUAAUGUAGGAAACAUUAUCACCAUAAAACAUAUUAUAUGCUGUGAUGUCUUGGAACUUUGAAGUCUCUCUUAUAGCUAAAACUUUAAAUUCUAGCUUUCCAAGGAUCUUCAGUACCAUGCGUGCAGUAGGCAGUCAAUAAAUGUUCCCUAUAGAUGCUGUGUCUCUGAGAUAGUAAUCAUCUUUUAUUUUCCUCUUUUCCUCCCUUCCCUCCUUGCUCCCUCCCUUCCUACUUUCUUCCCUUUCUGCCUUCUUUCCUUCUCCUUCUUUUCUUUUUUGUCUGCCCUGUAUCACUUUGGGGAGCAUCUCUUCCCCUUUACAUAUAUUUUAGAUGGUGCUGAUAAUCAAGUGGGUCUGAUCUCACCUACCACUCAGUGUCCACUUCACCCAGGCUGGCCAAUCAAAGUGCUCCACUCUCUGGACACAGUAAUUGGUCCAGAGGUCCUAGCAGGGCCACUGAGAGCCUUUGGGUUGGGGAGAUCAAUAUGAACUUUAUGAAGGAAAGACUGUCUAUUCCCGACUUUGUGAGCACCAAGAAACCAGGUGAACUUGGAACUUCUUGGGGGCUCAUCUUCCUCCACAUGCAGAUGGUCUGCCUGGGAAUGAAGCCAUCUCAGAGGAAGGCAAAGCCAAGUUCUGGACGGAGAGAGGGCAGGGAGUUGAUGUCACCUUUUGAACCCAGAGCUUCACCAUGCCUUGAAGUCAGAAUCCGCUCUCUCCUUGGACGUCAUAUUCAAUUCAACGUUCCCUGGGAAUACCUUAAUCUGGGAUCCUGGGGACAUUCCUAUUAAUGAUUUUGUACUUAUUGAAAAAGUAGGAGAUACACAUACAAAUUGGUACCUAGUAGACUGUGUCAUUUAGAAAGUUAAAGUCCCUUGUGAUGAUAACCACUACUUCCCUGAAAAUCACUGUAUGUAGUUUUGUGCAUAUUCCUUUAGAUUUUUCUGUCAGUAUACUAAUAAAUUGCGAUGUUAACUGAGAAUUUUCUUGAUGCCGCAGUUUUUCUAGAAGCCAAUAAAAUCAAGGAUAAAGCAAUAGGUUCUAACACCUACAUUCUAGAGUGAGCUUGUUGGACUGUUCAUGCAGGAUUUGUAAAGCGAGUGAUCCAGGCCUGCCAUUAUUAGCUCAUAUAAGAGGUUAUAUUAAAAAAAGCCUAUGAAUUCAUGAGGGCAUUGACAAGGCCAAUAGGAGCACAUCUGUAGAGAACAUUCUCAGCAUGGCGAGGGCCACCCCCAUCCUGACAUAGGGGCAGAGAAAACUUCCCUUUCACCCUAAGCCAAGUAGGGGAGGUGACUUCAAGAAAAUCACUCAGGGGAUGUCUUAUGCAUCCACUGGAAUUUGGGUAUGUGGUACCUGGUACCUCAUUCAUCCUUUAUUGCUACCCACAGGGCAGCAGAGGGAAGAGAUGAGACUGAACUCAUAAUUUGAUUUAAUCUGACUUGAUUUCCUCUCUGACUGUCUGCCAACUGUUUCCAAUUUGGAACGGUUACAAAAUGUGAAAUUAUUCUGGCAGAAUGCAUCUAUCUGGUUUGGUUGACCCUUGGAAAACCUUCCUCCAUCAUAUCCAAUCAUGGAUUUCUCCUCCAAACCCAUGACCUUUCUUUUACACUCUCCUGAGUCAUUCUUCCCAACCUGGGUCCCCGCCACUCAACAGACUCAGGCACCACACAGUGAGGUGGUUAUUAUUGUGUGAAGUUAUUUCGUAGGGCCAGUUACACUGGUCAUACACACAAUGACUUUAGAUAUGUGUGCACAGACAGUGGCAUUCUUUACAAUAAUUUCCAGGUCUAUGUCCCAAUUAACACCAGAAAUUUCUGGAACUAUAAUUCUUUUUCUGGACUCUCUAUAUACCUUUCCAUCCCCAGUUUCUUCUCCAUGUACCCAAAUAAACUCCACUGCAUAAAGUUCUUGAAUUCUGCUUAUGGGAUCUCCCCUCACUGAAUCCCCUCUUUUCUGUGCAUCUAGCUAUUAGGUUCUACUCCCUUAUAGACGCUGUAAGAAUAUUGUUUAUAAUAACCAUUUAUUAAUUUUAAAUAAGUGCACUUUUGCCACAUUAUCCCAUCUCUUACUCAUAAAAUCCUUCUGAGGUAACUCUGUCUCCAUUUUGAAGAUGGAAAAAGAGAGGCUCGGAGGGAUUGAAUGAUUUGCCCAGUGUCACACAGCAAGUAAGUAGUGGAGGUAGGACAAGGACUCAGAUUUUCCUUCCUUGUAAGAUCUAUCUUCUUUUCCUUACGACCCCAUCUCCUCACUGCCUACUCUCUGAAGCCACAGGAUUACAUUCAGGUCCACCAGUUUCAGCUAUUUCUCUCUGCUCUAUAUCUCUAUCCUUUCUCUUCAAACUCUCUAGAAAUACUUCAAACUCUUUCAGAAGUUUCUAUUAGUAGAGUUAUAUUUCAAGCACUCUGAUCCUGGUCAGACUUCGGGCUGCCAGUCUACAAAAGAAUUUUCGGGAGCAAAUUGCUUCUGCUGAUCAGUCCAACUUGAAUAUUUGAGACUUUUGUUCUAUUAACUUUUCUUCAGAGGUGUUUUCUUUUUUAAAAGAAAAAUAUUUCCCUCCGAACAGAAAAGAGUUGAAAUUCCCAUUUGUGGGAUGGGGGAGGUUUCUAAAAAAAAUCAAGACGUUUCUAAAAACAACAACUUGAGCAAAUAUCUGAAAAAUGCUAGUAAAUUAAAAUAUUCACUCAAAAAUCAUUGUUUCAUCAUCAUUCUGUAUGUAUAUAACAUAUUUACUUUUUCUCUUCCCAUAUCACUCUUGGCUACCAGCAGUUUUUAUGAAAUCUUUGUUCUAUAUAAUUGUUUUUUUGUCAACUUUUCAAUUAACAAAGAGAAAAAAAGGAUGAUCUUUAAUAAUAUUACUUGCUUUUGACUUUUGAUAUAACAUUCUAAAAUUGUUGACACUGAAUAAUAAUGGAAAUAAAGAGUAAAAAGGGCUUAUUACUUGUGUGUAACUGCCUGAACGGACGCUAAGUGAUUUAUACAAUUGAUUUCAAAAUUUAAAUCUUUUUUAAAAAUACACUUUCAAGUAUGUUGGUUUUCAUCUUAUCUGUCUAAAUAUUAGGCUUCCGGGUUUAUACGUCCACUGAAAGUGGCUCGGAUUAACAGCAUUUAUUCUUGGUUCUCGGGAAAAAAUGACAUAACCUAAUUUCGUAUGUCUAAAAACACGAGUUGCAAAACAGCAUUUACGGUAAAUGUUUACAAACACAGCCUCACUUGACCUUCAAAACAACCCAGUGAAAUAUUAUCAUUAUUUACAAGGUGAGAAGUCUGAAGGUCAGAAGGCCCUCAUUCUGUAAACAUUGAUUAAGGUUUACAGGGCCGAGGAGAAGAAAUCUUCAGGGCGGCCAUUUGGCCCAAUCUGCAGGCUUAAAAGGGAUGUUCACUACAGCUGUUUUUAAGUGGAGAUUUUGUCUGUGGAAACAGGGUCUGUUCCUGUCUCUGAUACCAACUUCAACCUAGAAUCACUCUUCUGUUUUUUCUCAAAAAGCUACAUGGCUGUCAUUUCAGAAACUGUGAUGGUCACUCAGAGGUACUAGGAGAUGGCAAGCUGGUAGGGUUGCCAGAUAGAAUAUAGGACUCCCAGCUAAAUUUUAAUUUCAGAUAAACAAUGGGUCAUUUUUAAGUAUAAGUUUGUCCCAAUAUCUCAGACAUACUUAUAUUAAAAAUGAUCCAUUGUUUAUCUGAAGUUCAAUUUUAACUGGACGUCCUGUAAUUUUAAUUUGCUAAAUCUGGCAAUCCUAUAAGCUGGCUUUGUAGGCAAGAAGCAGUUGGUGGCCUGGUUCAAGCUUUAAGGAGAGUGAUUCUACUAAUAACACCAUGCGAGGCAGACAAAUGCAGAAGCCAAAGCUGGACUUUGCUGCUUGGGUUCAUUUUGUGGUUCCACUGCUUACCAGCUUACUUCACCUCCCUGAGGCUCAGUUCCCUCCUCCGCAAAACAGCAGAUAACAGUAUCUAUUUCCUUAGGAUUAUUGUGAGAAGUAAAUAAAAUAAUCCAGCAUAUCUUUCCCAUGAUAAAUGCUCGAUAAACUUUGUUUUUACGUUAUUUCCACAUAGUGCGUCCUCUUCCCAGAGAACACAGUCACAAUAAUCCUUUGAAUUAUCCAUAAUAUAUCUAUAUCUAUGUCUGUAUCUGUGUCUACAUCUGUAUCUACAUCUGUAGCUAUAUAUGGAGUUUCUUACCGGCCAGGACACUUGUAACUAGUAACUGCAUUGUCUGAUGAAUCUCCCUUAAAAACAUUUUUCUCCAUUUAUAGAAUGUUUUGUAUUAAGUUGUCAAUAUUCAUUAUUAUUGGUUUCAACUCUGGUUUAAGAAAAAGGGAAGUAUUCAGUUUUAAAAUAUUUGAAUAUAAAUCUGUUUAACUUAAUUUUCCUGUUAGUUUCAUCCUAAUGUUAUAAACUUUUAAUGUAUAAUGUAGUGUAAACUUUUAAUAUAUACAUAGUCUUAUUUGUCGAGUUAAAGACAAACUAUUCUUCCUUUAUAUCCUAAAUUUCCUGAAUUUAGAUAUUGUUUAGGAAAUAAUUUAGGUAAAAAUGCAGUUAGUGUGUGCUUUGAAUAGUGCAGGUAUUACGGCUUCACAAAAUGUCGUUCUCUUGUGUGCGUGUAUCUGUAUACAUAUGCACACACACACAUAUAAAACAAAUGUUUCUGGAUUUGUCUCUUUAUCUUUUAAUUCGUGGUUACCAUAUGCGUCUACCUGAAACUCCUAAAUCUAGGAAUAGCCACAUGCGAGGGUGAGAGGAUGGGAUGAGGGAUCUCAAUAUGUCUAAGCUGUUUGAAUUUUCCUAUGCUUUCACAAAGUCUGGUGAAUACCAUGUACCUGUCACUAAACACUGUGGGAUCACGCAAAGCCGCAUAAAACCUAAGGGGCUUAUAAUUUGUUUGAGGGUGGAAGAAUGCAGAAUAAAACAGACAUAAAAUUAGCCACAGUAAAAGCAGCGAGUGAUAAACAACUUAUGAUAGAUACUGAUAAUGUACGCUAUGGGACCAGAUAGAUGUGUUUGUCCAUUUACAAGGACAAGUGAUAGAUCCAACUGCCACAUUUGACAAUGAUGACUUCAAGGUGAGAUACUUCCCCACUGAAGUGUGAUUUUCCCUUUCCUUUUCUUUUUCUCUUCUCCUCUCCUCUCCUUUUCUGUUGGACACAGACCUGUCCAUCAAGGUCAACAUUCAUGGUGACAUUUUAAAAUAGUGUCUACUGCAUAACAUCACUAAAUAGCUUGCUUUAAUUUUUAAAAAUUUGAUGGCUUUUAAAAAUGGCCCAAUAUUUCAGACAUACAAAGUACAUAUAAUAAUAUUUUAACACAAAUGAAAAUGAAAUUAGGCUAACUUUUUUUUCAUAUUAAGUGAACAAAACUGUUUACCGGCACACAGUACCCCCCAGUGCCUAAGUGGCUAUACUCAACCUGUCCUGCCAGGAUUUGCUGGUGGCACUGGAAGUCACCACACUCUUCAGCAAAGUAAUCUGUCAACAUGCAGCAGGAGCCCCAACAAUGUUUAUACCUUUGUCUCAGAAAUCCUGGCAUCUGACCAACUAGCUUAAGAAAACAAUACAGGGAGGAGCUGGUUACACACACGUAAAUGCAUGUGUGUGUGUAUCUUCUGUUUGUCUAAAUCUGUAUGUCUGGGGAAACUCUUGUAAUUUUUAUGUUCAUAUCCAUAUUUCCUGUAUUAGGAGAAAAUAGGGCUGCUUCCUGAGUGGGUGCUCCGUGCAGUUGCACAAAGUUCUACGCUCAGAAAGCGGUUCAUGCUUGGGGUUUGAUGCUCUGUGGUCGUCAUCUUGAAAUUCUUAAUCAUUUUAUCUUUGAAUUUGUGUUUUGUAAGUGAAGGGUCAAUGGAGCAUACACAGGGUCUUGGAGCCUUGAUUUACCUGUGUUCCUGUCUCCUACCACCUCUUUUGGAUGGGUUGUCUGCCUCCCAUUCCCUGAGACUGCCCAGUUAUGGCUGCUGCCUUCUGUUCCUGGUGGGGGCCUGGGCCUGGGUGGAGAGAUGGUUGGGGUCAAGCAUGUGCAUCCUACAUUGUGGUUUGGGGGCCUGGAUAUCUGUGAGGGUCUCCAUUCGCUUGAAGAUUCCUGUUGCACUCAAGUGAGUGCGACAUUAAAUAGCAAAUAAAAAAAAACACCUUGAUAGGCUGAAAGAGAGACCACAAAAGAGAGGAAAAACUUUUCCCUGCUUUUGCAGACAAAGGGCCCACAUCUGUAUUUUGCAUAGGGCCCUGUAAAUUAUGUAGCUGUCUCUGGAAGAAAAAUGCCAGGAGGUGAAAUUCAGAGGGCUUGGGGUUCCAGGACAGCUUUACCAAGAAGUUACUCUAGCUAAAGUGGGACAAAAGCAAACUCAUCCUCUUAGCUUCAGACCCAGGCUGCAGGAAUCCAGCCAGGGAGGGGGAGACUGCUCACAAAGCCCAUGGCAUUCCUGUGGGCAGAGCUUAUGGCUUUUCCCACACUGGUAAGAAAGCGUCUUCAACUCUUGGCCCUGAGAAUUAUUGCCCUUGGGAGGAGUGUGUGUGUGUGUGUGUGUGUGUGUGUGUGUGUAGGAGGGAGGUGUGGAAGUCAGCACUGCCUGGGUCACUUUCUGCAAUAUUUCUUGUGGCUUUCUUCUUUGUUUCUUUUUCCCUCCAUCUAAAGAAACGAUCUCUUUAUUUUAGACGAGAUUUGUCCUAGAGCUUUAGUUCUUAUGUGUGAAGAUUCUUUUUCAAAGAAAAAAAAAGAACGAAGGUAGAUUCAGCAUGCCAGGCAGACCCGUCAAUCUCGUCUGUAAUUGGGUCUGCUAUUGGUGAGUAGCCACUUGGGAGGAAAUUGCUCAUCCAUGUGGAGUGAAUGAACUGUUUCAGGGCGCGGGGCCUCCACAGAGGGCUGCAUGCUGGCCUCCUGCCAGACAGUCUCCUUGCGGUGCCUGGCUCGGCUGCAGACUCAGGUUCAGACCAGGGAGCAGUUUGUUCCUCUGGUCCUGCAGAUAAGCAUCUGUUUGCUUGCUUUCUUCCUGGUUCAGUGGGGCUGAGUUCCCUUUAGAGAGGCAUUGACAUUUAGAUGUAUGACGGCUUUUGGUGAUGGGAAUAGGGACCUGGACUCGCCAUGAGCCUUGAGGCCCUUUGUUUGACGGAGGGAAGAGCAAGCAAUAGUAGUUUCAUGACGUCAAGGUGAAAGCUGAUGAGGCCACUCCUGCUUCCAGUCGAUUAAUCUCUGGACCAUUGGAAGCCAACUGUUUAUAAAGAAAUGCCAGCUCCAUUGGCAGUUUCUCCAUAAUUGUUCUACAGAGUUGGCAUUACUUUUUCUUUCCUCUAACAUAUUCCAAAGAAUGCCUUGUUGCAAGAGCUCACGUAAAAUAGUUACCCCUCCAAGUCAAUAACGUGAGAUCACCUCUUUUAUCCACCAGAGGCGUUGGAGAUAAAUAAAUUGAUAAGGAAGUGGAACUCCUGUGUUUACACUUUCAGAUGAUUUAACUGAAAGAACAUUUAGCUGCCACUCCGUCCUGUUUUGAAAGAACCCUCUGCUUAGGAGGCCAAUGACUGAAUUCACAUCUUCAAUAUUCUGCAUAAAACCCUUCAAGAGGAAGGCCUCUCUUCCUCCUGAAUGGAUUCCAGAGCACAAAAGCCCAUGUACUUCGUAGCUGUUAUUUGGAAUGGCAUGGUACUUUGGAGAAGAGAGUCAAAAAUCUCCCAAUGGCCUUUAUGAUAUAGGGACUAUAAUAGAACUAUAAUAGAAUGCAGAAUUAAUAGGUUAGUAUAAGACAUACUAAGACUUUCCAGGCCCAUCCUUUAGAAAGAAUAGAGAAUAAUGCUGUCUUCUGGAAGGGACUGAGCUAAAGGAGAGAAAUAUAUAUUUGGGUCACAGUGAAGAGUCUAAGAAGGCAAAAUCACUGAGAUGAGCCCGUAAUUUAGUUGAGGAUAAGAGUGUUGAAAAAUACUCCAAAAGCACUUUUUUCUAAAUCUCUUAGCAAUAAUUAUCUUGGAUUGUGGUUUCGUGUUGACUUGUGGAUCUCCCUCACUUGCCUAAAUCCUCUAAGCUUAGUAUCUGGAGCACAUAUCAUCCUUUAAGGCUUAGUGAAUGAAAGAAUGAACUUUGACAAGACUCUUUUCUCUGUGCUAUGAGUAUAGAGUAGGAGGAGUGGUCAGGGUGUGGUGAUACCCAGAGCAAAGCCCUUGAUGUGAUUUUAAGGUCUUUGCCUCAAAGAAGCCAAGAUGAAAACAUUCAAGGGGAAAGACGCUCCCUGAAGGGAAGAAUGUAUUGGCAACACCCAAAGUGUCUUAAGCAAUAUGAAACAACUUACAGCUCUUGAUAGAUGAGCUAGGAAUUUGGAGCAUAUAUGCCCCUGGGAAAUCAGCCAAACACUGCGUGGACAUAUAUUUUAAAUCUAUAGCAACAACUUGAACAAAUUGAGGUUGUUCUCAACUCUGACCCUCUCAGGGCUCCUCCCUGGCCAAAGCUGCUUUCUUUUUCCCUUGGUGUUCUCAUUUUACUCCUUGGAAGAGAGCAAAAUGUUCUGCGUGGAAUUUUAUCUUGAAAUGUCUGUGGCCAGUGAGGAAAGCCCAAGGGACUAUCUCAGAGACAUGGAAGAUCCAGGUGUGCAGCCUUUUAUUCUUCACAGCAUCAAGUAUUUAACACUUUAAUAGUUUAAAUCAAGCUCAUUGAACUUGCAGCUUUGGUCUAAUUUGGGAAAAAAUAAUAUUUUGAAAAAUUCUAUACAGUCCAACUAAAAUCAAGCUUGUUAACCAGAAUUAAAAGCCACAGUCAACUGUCCUGAGCAUUUCUAAACUGUUGCCUAAAUAGACUUGAGAGAAGACAGGGUUGUCUGGAGUAAAGCUCUUCCACAGGACAAUUCCUUCUGACAUGACAGGAAUGUUUAUCAAGGAGAUUCAUGUCAGGCACAAACAUGUUCAGCUGUCUCCUUCAUUGCUGUGACUGAACUUGUCACAGCACAGGACUGUGCUUGCACACCUGGUUUACCCAGAGAUCUGGGUCUGUUGUGUUUGAUGGUUGUUACUGUAGGAUCCUAACAUCCUUUUGAUUCCUCAGAAGUAGAUUAAAGUGUCUUUCUCCAGUUUUUGCAUCUUAUAGAGAAGAGUAUAAUUUGAUGGGCUUGGCUAGUGUGAUGGAGGAGCAAAAGCAUGAGAAUCAGGAGUCCUUUCCUUCUGGGCAUCUAUGUGGGGCUGAUGUAUACUCACUAUAUUGAACAGAACGGCAUGGUGGUUUCUCCCAAGUUAUUAGUUCCUUUUGAGUUUCCACUAGCCUCAUCCUGCAGACACCCCCAGGGUUGAAACCAGAUCUGCCUCUGGAGACGGGAUAUUUAGUGAACAGCCCUCCAUUUGGCAGAUACCUUCUUGAUGAAGACAUCCUUCAAAGUAGAGAAGAGGGAGCUAAGUAAAAGGGAAAAAGCUGCAAGUACUCAUGGCACAAACAUGGUCCAGGCUGAGGAGAACUUGAAAUUCACUCUAACCAGGGCCUUCUCGGCCACUGUGAACCCUCUGAAGGAAGGCAAUGUCCUGGGGACAGCUUUCUCUCCCUCCACAGUGACUCCCCCUGGUCUAUAGUCUAAAGCCCCAGUCCUUUGACACAGCAUUCAAAGCCUCCCAGAUAUUGUCUUGCUUAUUUUUCCAGCUUAAUUUCUUGCCUUUCCAGCCUCAAACUUUAUGCGCUGGCAACCCUUCUUCUCCUAGAUGCAUUACGCCACAUUUAGGCUCUGAUUUGGUCCAUAACGCCCGCAGUGUCCUUGCACGCUGCACUUCCUUCAUCUGGCUAAUGUCUUAUUUAGACUCUAGGAUUCAAGUUAAGAACCAUAUUGUCUAGGAAGUUUCUUUAUGAUUUCCAAGACUGGAUUAGGUUCUCUUUCUGGGCACCCAUAAUACUCUAUGCAUAUCUCAAUGACUGACCCAAUGACAUUUUUAUAUAUAAUUAUCUGUCUGUUCUCCUUUCCCUACGGUGAGUGACACUGAUCCCCUUCAGGAAUGAAGAAUGUCCCUCAGAUGCUGGAAGUGCUGCUGAAGACAUUCCUCAGUCAUCAGUUCUUGAUGGGGAUUGCCUUUGUUGAAGAGAACAGUCUGAGCCAAUCAUGUCCCCAUUCUGGGGUGGUCAGCAUCCAAUGACUAAUGAACAUGGAGGUGGAAAGGCUCAGCUAUUACAUCCAGGUGGAUUCAAGUUGGAAGCUCACCUGAGCUUCAGAACUCUCUGCAGGGUUGUCUGCGGCUUCCUUAGAGACUGCAUCACAGCCGACUUCUCCCUGUGCCUAAUCUUGCUUCCUUCCUGCCUUUCCACCGAUGCUGAUUCCAAGAGCUCUCUCGUAAGUCUCCUGCAUGCUGAUCUCCAUCUCAGAAUCGGCUUCCAGGGAUCCCAAUGUGAGCCACCUACUUUCGUCUGAUCUGAGCAACUUGAGGACAGGGACUGUGCCUUAUUCAUCUUUGUAUUUCUAGCACCCACAAAGUGCCUGGCGCAAAGUGUGCUCUAAAUCAAUGUUGGUGGGCAGGCUGAAUAAAUGAGAUGCAAAGUGUGAGAGGGAUUUGGCAUUGUUAAAAGAUGAAGGGGGCAAUCAGGUUUCCUCUAGAAGGCAGAUAGCUUCAUCGUUUGAUCGUCUCACCGUUAAUAGACUCAACUAUUAAACAGGCGAAGAGGUCUGGAUUUGGAGUUAAUAGAUCCAGGUACAAGUGUUAUUUUUCCCCUUACUUAUGUGUGUGUAUUGCUGGGUUCUAGCAGGAAGGAGAAAACACACUCAAACCUGGUGAUUCCAGGAGAAUUUAGUUGAAGGACUAUUUACAAGGCAAAGGCUGAGUUCAAGGAAACCAACAAAUAGUGCAGUAUCUGGGGCUAUUGACACAUUACCAUCUGAAGGCCUGAAGGGGCAAGGGAAGGGGGCCAAGUGUGGAAUGCAGAGGGGCUACCAAAAGGGAAUUGCGCCUUGCCUAGGGGGAUAGAGUCUGUUCACUGAGACCUAGUAGGAAGGGAGCAAGGGAAAUAAGGGCCCAGGGCUUAUUCUGCAACGCCCUCCCCUCUCCUACCAGUGUGUCCCAUUGGCCAUGCCCCAUGAGAAGCCAGAAGCCCAGGGGGUCCUUGCUGCAGGCCAGUGGCUUCCCAGGCACAGAGGGCAGAGAAGGGGGGGAGGGUGGAGAAGAGAGGAGAAUGGAUCUGGAGUGGUCAACAGAAGAUGCCCAGCACAGGGACCAUGGAGGGACUCAAGAGUUUAAGUGAUUUGCUUCUUACCUGGGGACGGGAGCUCCACCCUGCCCACUGGAUGGGUAAGAUACAUGAAACAUGCUUUGUAAACUGCAAAUUGCAAUACAUGUAUUACAUAUGGUUUAACUGAAAAUAUUCAUGCAUUGUUUCCAAGGGUAGGUCUUCUUACAAUACAACUUCUUUCCAAAUCUAGGAAGAGCUGCAGCAGACAGUGUUACUGAUUCAGUAGCAGGAAAUCACUCCCAUGCCUGCUGGCUAUAGUGCAUUUUGAUUAAUGGGACCUGGGGGUUGGAAAGGCCAGCUUUCUGAGUCAUGACCUGUGCCCUGAAAUUUUAGUUCUUAAAAAAAAAAGGAAGAGAAAAUAAAUGACUGUAUGUGUUGAAAGCCUGAAAGUUUCAGCCAUGCUUUUAAGUGCUUUUCAUGGAUUAAUUUAUCUUUAAAAAAUAUCACAAGGCAUUUCUAAUUUUUAUUCUUGUUUUAAAAAUGAGAGAACUGAAAUGAUGAGAGAUGAAGUAAUUUGCCCAUGGUGACAUAUUUAGUAAAUGAUCUUGUAACUCACUGCCUUAGCCAAUAAAUAUACUGCCUCUCAAUACAGAAUGUUCUUUUGCCUGUAUUUGAAAUGAAAUCAAACGGUGCCAUAUUGAACUUGUACUUUUAAAAUUUGUUUUAAAUAUUUAUCUAUUUUAUCCAAGUAGAUUUAUUCACUGUUGGGUGGUAUAAAAUAACUGGAUGAAUUUCCAAGAAUUUAUUUGUCUAUUCUCUUAUUGAUACAUUAAGUUGAAUCCAAUUUUGCUAUUACAAAUGAUGCUCCAAUUGAUAUUCCUGUAUAUGUCCCUCUGUGAAAAUUUGCUAGAAGAGAAUUUAUGACUAAGAGUGGAGUUCUUAGGCCAUAAAAUUUGUGUGUUCUCAAUUUUAUUAGAUACUGCAAGAUAAUUCUCCAAAGAUUCUGUAGAACUUGGCGCUCUGACCAGCAGUAUAUGAAAAUUACUGUUGCGUCUUAUACUAACCAACUCAAUAUUAUGUUUCUGAAUUUUUCUAUCAUAAUGGAUGGGAAAUGGAAUAGUCAUUAUUGUUUGUCUUUUAUUGCUACUAAUAAAUUUGAGCAUCCUUUCAUAUGUUUAUUGGACGUUUGAUAGCGCUCAUCUAUGAAUUGCAUAUUUAUACUCUUCCAUUGUUUAUCUUGUUUGUUAACGCAUUUUGGUUAGUUAGAGUAGACUUAAUUUUGUAUAGUUAGAGUAGACUUAAACUUCCCAAAAAAUAAAGUUCAAAAUGGUCGCUCAAAAGAUUUUGUUUUUAGUUCUUCAGUUCCUACAUAAGAACGUAGCACGUUUUCUUCUGUGAGGAACUUUAGAACUAUAAGCUGCUAAAUGCUGCUGAUAUAGUUUAGCAUUAUUUGGAAGAAUAAUGUCACUUGAUUUAUUUGCCCAAUACUCACUUAAAAGAAUCUGUAUAGUAGCUUAUCUAACUCCAUAGCUAUCAUCUCCCAUCCAGUGGAAACUGGCAGGAUUUCAAAUCUUCCGGAGUAAAGUAAAUGUGCUCAGGCUCAAUAUCAUUUGUGGGAAAUGAAUACACAAAAGUUGAAUUUAGUUUUUAAAAACUAACAAUUCUUUCAUUUAACUUAUUUUUUAUUAUUUUUUAAUUUUAAUUCUAGUAUUUUGCUUAUAUAUAUGUGUGUGGAUAUAUGAGACCUAAAAAACCAGAGAGUUUAGAUUUCCUGGGUCCCUUAGCAAAGGGCACUGUGGAACGUGUGCUCCCAAAGCAGUUUCACCAUUUAGUUUCCUUCUCUUUUUCUCUCUGUCUCUGUCUGUCUGUCUCUCUCUCUCCUUCUUUCUGCCACACAUUCAUGCAUGUACGUGUUCAUUUACUACAUACUACAAUUACUGAAUACCUACCAUGUACCAGGCACUCUUAGAAAUACAUACUCUUUUAGAAAUACGGUAGAAAUACAGCAAUGAAUAAACCGAGAAAAAUUCCUGCUUAAAUUCUAGUGGGGGAAACAGACAAUAAACAAAAUAUAUAAGUAAAAUAUAUAGCAUGUUAGAUGUUGGCAACUGCUUGGGAGAAAAAUAAACUGAGAAAGGGAAAUAGGGAGAACAAUUUUUCAAAGUGAGAUGAAUGUCUAUAUUUAGCGAUACGGAUAGCAGCAGACCAGUGUAAAAUGAAGUUAACACUAUGUAUCACAAACAGAAACAGUUUUGGUCCUAAAUCCUUUAACGCAAAGACUUUGGGUAACUCAGUGAGAUUCUCUGAGUUCUGCAUUUCUCACCUACAACACAACAGAGGUGGAGUGAGGGCGGAGAAGGUAGAAGUAAGUACUCUAACUACAGUGAAGUGAUCUAGUGUAACAUGUAAACAAAAUACUCAAAAUCAUAGUUGACUCCUUCUUUCACAGACUGUCAGUAAAUUUUCUUCGCUCUGCUGUCAACAUACAUCCAGAAUUGGACCACGGCUCCCACCUCCCCUGCUCCCACCUUGGUCUGAACCACCAUCGUGUCUUGUCUAGUUUAUCACAAUAAACACUUAAUGGCCUCCCAGCUCCUAACCUGACCCAUGUCAGCUAGAGUGAGCCUUUAAAAAGUCACUUUUUUGUUCAAACCCUGCGUUGGCUCCCAGUGCACACAGAGUAACUGCCGACGUCCUUAGAGUGGCCUUCGAGGUCCACUCUGACCUCUCCUAACAGCUCCUGCCGUCGCUCACUCCCCUCAGGCCACACUGGCAUCUUCAUUCAUUCUUGAAUGCCAAGAAUUUUCUGCCUCCUAGGUUUUUACUUUAUCUUCCCUCUCUGGAAUGCUUUCCCGAACUUAUCCACUUCAUUAACUCCCUCAAGUCUUUGCUCAGUUCUCUUCUUUUCAGUGAGCUCUGUGCUGAACACCCUAAUUAAACUUCUCAACCUUUCCCCCUUCACCGUUUCUACCCCCGACCCCCAUCUCCUGCUCUACUUUCUUCUUAUUUCCAUAGUACUCAUCACUUUUACACAUCUGAUAACAUUUACUAAAUCAAUGACUUAUGUUUGUGUGUGUUUCUGCCUGCUAGAAAUAACUUCCUAAGGGCAGCUCAUGUGCCUGCAACAGUGCCUGGUCCAGAGUGGGUGCUCAAUAAGUAUUUGUUCAGAAAUAAUUAAUGCUGUCUCAUGCACAUGCAUGCACACACACACACACAUACACUUUAUCUCCUCAUUUCCUCUCAUGCUGUCCUUGGUCUAAACCACUUUCCCUCACACUUUUGGGUUAUGUCAUACUGUUAUGGGCUGAAUGUUUGUGGCCCCCUGCCAUAUUCCUGUGUUGAAGCCCUAACAGCCAGUGUAGCUAUAUUUGAAGAUGGGACCUCUAAGGAAGUAGUUAAGGUUAAAUGAGGUUAUAAGGGUUGGGCCCUGAUCCCAUUGGAUUAGUCCUUAUAGGAAGAGACAACUCACUCUCUUUCUGUCCUUGCUCACACACUGAGGAAGGGCCAUGUGAACACACAGUGAGAAGGUGGCCAUCUACAAGCCAGAAAGAGAGUCCUCACCAGGAACUGAAU